UUUCGCAUAUCGUAAAAUUUCUUCAAAUUAGAGGGGUCCAGCAUCUUCAACUUGGAACCUUUAUUCACAAACUGACCAUCAGGUAUCCUUGUACAGUGAAUUUUCUUCUCAUUCUAGGAGUUCAUUGCAGCAGAUUCAGCUUGAAGCUUUAUUUGUAAAUUGACUAAACUAGCAAUUUCUGACAUAUUUUUCUCUCCAGGAUUGGUACUGCAAGAACCAGAUUUUUGAAGUUUUUCACCCACUCUGAUGAUAUGUGGUACUUGGGAGGUCAAAUCUCCAGUGCUCAGCACUCUAAUUGCUACAGUGUAGUCAGCAUUGCC
RNAcentral lists this long non-coding RNA (320 nucleotides) under Oryza brachyantha (malo sina). RNAcentral describes it as "long non-coding RNA (OBRA_LNC002691)". The record is from RNAcentral. Lineage: Eukaryota; Viridiplantae; Streptophyta; Magnoliopsida; Poales; Poaceae.